GACGAACGCUGGCGGCGUGCCUAAUACAUGCAAGUAGAACGCUGAAGAGAGGAGCUUGCUCUUCUUGGAUGAGUUGCGAACGGGUGAGUAACGCGUAGGUAACCUGCCUGGUAGCGGGGGAUAACUAUUGGAAACGAUAGCUAAUACCGCAUAAAAUUGAUUAUUGCAUGAUAAUUAAUUGAAAGAUGCCACUGCAUCACUACCAGAUGGACCUGCGUUGUAUUAGCUAGUUGGUGAGGUAACGGCUCACCAAGGCGACGAUACAUAGCCGACCUGAAAGGGUGAACAGACACACUGGGACUAAAGCACAGCCCAGACUCCUACGAGAGGCAGCAGUAGAGAAUCUUCGGCAAUGGGGGGAACCCUGACCGAGCAACGCCGCGUGAGUGAAGAAGGUUGUCGGAUCGUAAAGAUCUGUUGUAAGAGAAGAACGGGUGUGAGAGUGGAAAGUUCACACAGUGACGGUAUCUUACCAGAAAGGGACGGCUAACGACGUG
Molecule: ribosomal RNA, 497 nt
Filed under: uncultured bacterium
Lineage: Bacteria
Description: partial 16S ribosomal RNA
Rfam family: Bacterial small subunit ribosomal RNA
Source: RNAcentral